UACAGAGGGGGCAAGCGUUAUUCGGAAUUAUUGGGCGUAAAGGGCGCGUAGGCGGCUUGGCAAGUGGAAGGUGAAAUCCCUCGGCUUAACCGAGGAACUGCCCUCCAAACUGCUUUGCUUGAGGCCGGGAGAGGUGAGUGGAAUUCCCAGUGUAGCGGUGAAAUGCGUUGAUAUCGAUAGGAACUCCAGUGGCGAAGGCGACCACCUGGACUGAUACUGACACUGAGGUGCGAAAGCGUGGGGAGCAAACAGG
RNAcentral lists this ribosomal RNA (253 nucleotides) under uncultured Acidobacteriota bacterium. RNAcentral describes it as "uncultured Acidobacteria bacterium partial 16S ribosomal RNA". It matches the Rfam family "Bacterial small subunit ribosomal RNA", at positions 524 to 776 of the family's 1533-position model. Lineage: Bacteria; Pseudomonadati; Acidobacteriota. The record is from RNAcentral.